This 497-nucleotide ribosomal RNA is filed under the name uncultured bacterium. Its description in RNAcentral is "partial 16S ribosomal RNA". It matches the Rfam family "Bacterial small subunit ribosomal RNA", at positions 28 to 507 of the family's 1533-position model. The record is from RNAcentral.
GACGAACGCUGGCGGCGUGCCUAAUACAUGCAAGUUGAGCGCUGAAGGUUGGUACUUGUACCGACUGGAUGAGCAGCGAACGGGUGAGUAACGCGUGGGGAAUCUGCCUUUGAGCGGGGGACAACAUUUGGAAACGAAUGCUAAUACCGCAUAAAAACUUUAAACACAAGUUUUAAGUUUGAAAGAUGCAAUUGCACCACUCAAAGAUGAUCCCGCGUUGUAUUAGCUAGUUGGUGAGGUAAAGGCUCACCAAGGCGAUGAUACAUAGCCGACCUGAGAGGGUGAUCGGCCACAUUGGGACUGAGACACGGCCCAAACUCCUACGGGAGGCAGCAGUAGGGAAGCUUCGGCAAUGGACGAAAGUCUGACCGAGCAACGCCGCGUGAGUGAAGAAGGUUUUCGGAUCGUAAAACUCUGUUGGUAGAGAAGAACGUUGGUGAGAGUGGAAAGCUCAUCAAGUGACGGUAACUACCCAGAAAGGGACGGCUAACUACGUG